CCAAUAGUAUAGCUGUGAUGCUAUUACUUUACUUCCCAUUGGAUUCCUGACUUCUGGUUUUCAGCUGAUAAUCAGAUGCCUAAGACAUUGAAAGUCAGAUAAGUGGGGCAUUUUUACAUUUUCUAAAGGAUAUAUAACAUAUAAUCACUUGAAUUAGAAGAAUCUUUUCUAUAUAGAAUUAUAGAAUCAAAUAAUUUAAAUAGUAAUAACAAGUAAAGCUGGGUCAUGUGUGGGUCUAUGUUUUAAAUACCUUGUAUAUUUUUGGCAGAAUUAAUAAAGACUUGUAAAAACUACUAAGUUCAAUUCUAAGACUGUUUCAUAUUAUUACCAAAAUAUCAAAAUGUGAGUUAUUUUACUAACUCACCCUCUUCAAGUUAUAGCCAUUAUAGAAGAAUUUUUAAGACUUUAGAUGUUCAUUAUUUUUUGAAU
RNAcentral lists this long non-coding RNA (429 nucleotides) under Bos taurus (domestic cattle). RNAcentral's name for it is "long non-coding RNA NONBTAT000034". The record is from RNAcentral. Lineage: Eukaryota; Metazoa; Chordata; Mammalia; Artiodactyla; Bovidae.